RNAcentral lists this ribosomal RNA (143 nucleotides) under uncultured bacterium. Its description in RNAcentral is "partial 16S ribosomal RNA". It matches the Rfam family "Bacterial small subunit ribosomal RNA", at positions 1357 to 1500 of the family's 1533-position model. The record is from RNAcentral.
CUGCCGUGAAUACGUUCCCGGGCCUUGUACACACCGCCCGUCACACCAUGAGAGUCGGAAACACCCGAAGCCUGUAGUCCAACCGCAAGGGGGCGCAGUCGAAGGUGGGUCUGAUAAUUGGGGUGAAGUCGUAACAAGGUACC